ACUGCCCCCAUAGGUGUUACAUAUAUGGAUGGUAUGUCACAUGUGUGAUAGUUAGUGGUAAAAUGGGGACAAGGUUUUUCUAUGCUCAGUGUUCUGACCUCUAUGAACAUCUGAAUUAUUAGUGUCUAAACACU
Molecule: small nucleolar RNA, 134 nt
Organism: Apodemus sylvaticus (European woodmouse)
Lineage: Eukaryota; Metazoa; Chordata; Mammalia; Rodentia; Muridae
Product: small nucleolar RNA SNORA17
Exons: 1
Source: RefSeq, a predicted model, not a curated record